GUUCUUCAAAUUGGAAAUAGGCCUACUGGCUGACAGAAAAAAGGCCCUGAAUUUUCCUAGAGAAAUAUAAAUUUAUACAUGUCACAAGUCAUCUUUUGGACUAAUUGUGGAAAAAACAGGAGGAGAUUUUUAAGUUUGCUAACGUCAUGAGAUGUUCUGCAAGAAUUGUGCAGAAAUUUGUAGCUGCUUUACGGGGCCAAUGAGAUCCAGUUGAUGUUUUAGCCUGCAUUUAUGAUUGAUGAGCUGUGCAGCAAUGCAGAUUUUUAAAAUAAAGAUUGGACAGCUGUCUACUGUUGUGUAAUGCACAUCCAAACAUGGAUUUCCUAAUGGUUGAUCUUGUGCCAUCUGCCCAAGGACAAAGGAUAAGAGAAGCUGUAGUAAAACAGAACCUAUAGCCUUCCAUCUGCUCUCAUCAGAAACAACUGUAAAUCCAUUAGCUGUUACAAGACUGGUACAAAUAUAAAUGUAUAGUAGAUAGACACUAGAGUCAUCAAAAAAGAUAACAGAACAACAAAUGCAAAAUAAGUGAAAUAUAGAGAUAAAUUGCUCUGGAUAAUAGACUGGAGAACCAGUUGUGUGUUGUGAAAGGAAUCAGGAUGAAAAUAUGUAAAUAUGAUAAUCUUAGUUGCAAUUUGAGGUGCAACUAUAGACCAAAGGAAGAUAUUUAAAACAGCUUUAAUGGGCCAUGUUUAAAAACUUUUUCUAAAAGUUUUACCUCUGUAUAUGCUUCAUUUCAGUUUU
This is a long non-coding RNA of Crotalus tigris (Tiger rattlesnake), 741 nucleotides long. RefSeq lists it as uncharacterized. The record is from RefSeq and is a predicted model, not a curated record. NCBI's taxonomy places the organism in Eukaryota, Metazoa, Chordata, Lepidosauria, Squamata, Viperidae. The transcript is spliced from 3 exons.